UGGGGAAUAUUGCACAAUGGGGGAAACCCUGAUGCAGCGACGCCGCGUGAGCGAAGAAGGUUUUCGAAUCGUAAAGCUCUGUCCUAUGAGAAGAUAAUGACGGUAUCAUAGGAGGAAGCCCCGGCUAAAUACGUGCCAGCAGCCGCGGUAAUACGUAUGGGGCGAGCGUUGUCCGGAAUUAUUGGGCGUAAAGGGUACGUAGGCGGAUAAGCAAGUUAGAAGUGAAAUCCUAUAGCUCAACUAUAGUAAGCUUUUAAAACUGCUCAUCUUGAGGUAUGGAAGGGAAAGUGGAAUUCCUAGUGUAGCGGUGAAAUGCGCAGAUAUUAGGAGGAAUACCGGUGGCGAAGGCGACUUUCUGGCCAUAUACUGACGCUGAGGUACGAAAGCGUGGGUAGCAAACAGG
Molecule: ribosomal RNA, 403 nt
Filed under: Verrucomicrobiota bacterium
Lineage: Bacteria; Pseudomonadati; Verrucomicrobiota
Description: Verrucomicrobia bacterium partial 16S ribosomal RNA
Rfam family: Bacterial small subunit ribosomal RNA
Source: RNAcentral